This 467-nucleotide ribosomal RNA is filed under the name uncultured bacterium. RNAcentral's name for it is "partial 16S ribosomal RNA". It matches the Rfam family "Bacterial small subunit ribosomal RNA", at positions 28 to 507 of the family's 1533-position model. The record is from RNAcentral.
GACGAACGCUGGCGGCGUGCUUAACACAUGCAAGUCGAACGGAAAGGCCUCUUUCGGGGGGUACUCGAGUGGCGAACGGGUGAGUAACACGUGAGUAACCUGCCCUUGACUUUGGGAUAACUUCAGGAAACUGGGGCUAAUACCGGAUAGGAGCUCCUGCUGCAUGGUGGGGGUUGGAAAGUUUCGGCGGUUGGGGAUGGACUCGCGACUUAUCAGCUUGUUGGUGGGGUAGUGGCUUACCAAGGCUUUGACGGGUAGCCGGCCUGAGAGGGUGACCGGCCACAUUGGGACUGAGAUACGGCCCAGACUCCUACGGGAGGCAGCAGUGGGGAAUAUUGCACAAUGGGUGGAAGCCUGAUGCAGCAACGCCGUGUGCGGGAGGACGGCCUUCGGGUUGUAAACCGCUUUCGCUCAUGACGAAGCUUUGUGUGACGGUAGUGGGUAAAGAAGCACCGGCUAACUACGUG